Molecule: ribosomal RNA, 3041 nt
Filed under: Klebsiella oxytoca
Lineage: Bacteria; Pseudomonadati; Pseudomonadota; Gammaproteobacteria; Enterobacterales; Enterobacteriaceae
Description: 23S ribosomal RNA
Rfam family: Bacterial large subunit ribosomal RNA
Source: RNAcentral
GGGUUGUGAGGUUAAGCGACUAAGCGUACACGGUGGAUGCCCUGGCAGUCAGAGGCGAUGAAGGACGUGCUAAUCUGCGAAAAGCGUCGGUAAGGUGAUAUGAACCGUUACAGCCGGCGAUGUCCGAAUGGGGAAACCCAGUGCAAUUCGUUGCACUAUCGUUAACUGAAUACAUAGGUUAACGAGGCGAACCGGGGGAACUGAAACAUCUAAGUACCCCGAGGAAAAGAAAUCAACCGAGAUUCCCCCAGUAGCGGCGAGCGAACGGGGAGCAGCCCGGAGUCUGAAUCAGCUUGUGUGUUAGUGGAAGCGUCUGGAAAGUCGCAGGGUACAGGGUGAUACUCCCGUACACUAAAACACACAGGUUGUGAACUCGAAGAGUAGGGCGGGACACGUGGUAUCCUGUCUGAAUAUGGGGGGACCAUCCUCCAAGGCUAAAUACUCCUGACUGACCGAUAGUGAACCAGUACCGUGAGGGAAAGGCGAAAAGAACCCCGGCGAGGGGAGUGAAAAAGAACCUGAAACCGUGUACGUACAAGCAGUAGGAGCCCCACCACCAAAGCGUUUCGCUUUGCGUGGUGCGCAAAAUGCGUAACGACAGCAUGAUGGACGGUUAACGGAGCGUCAGCGACGUUCAACCUCAAAAAUCAGGCAGUGGAGCGUUUUGGGGUGGGGUGACUGCGUACCUUUUGUAUAAUGGGUCAGCGACUUAUAUUCUGUAGCAAGGUUAACCGAAUAGGGGAGCCGCAGGGAAACCGAGUCUUAACUGGGCGUUAAGUUGCAGGGUAUAGACCCGAAACCCGGUGAUCUAGCCAUGGGCAGGUUGAAGGUUGGGUAACACUAACUGGAGGACCGAACCGACUAAUGUUGAAAAAUUAGCGGAUGACUUGUGGCUGGGGGUGAAAGGCCAAUCAAACCGGGAGAUAGCUGGUUCUCCCCGAAAGCUAUUUAGGUAGCGCCUCGUGAACUCAUCUUCGGGGGUAGAGCACUGUUUCGGCUAGGGGGUCAUCCCGACUUACCAACCCGAUGCAAACUACGAAUACCGAAGAAUGUUAUCACGGGAGACACACGGCGGGUGCUAACGUCCGUCGUGAAGAGGGAAACAACCCAGACCGCCAGCUAAGGUCCCAAAGUCAUGGUUAAGUGGGAAACGAUGUGGGAAGGCCCAGACAGCCAGGAUGUUGGCUUAGAAGCAGCCAUCAUUUAAAGAAAGCGUAAUAGCUCACUGGUCGAGUCGGCCUGCGCGGAAGAUGUAACGGGGCUAAACCAUGCACCGAAGCUGCGGCAGCGACACUAUGUGUUGUUGGGUAGGGGAGCGUUCUGUAAGCCGUUGAAGGUGGCCUGUGAGGGUUGCUGGAGGUAUCAGAAGUGCGAAUGCUGACAUAAGUAACGAUAAUGCGGGUGAAAAACCCGCACGCCGGAAGACCAAGGGUUCCUGUCCAACGUUAAUCGGGGCAGGGUGAGUCGACCCCUAAGGCGAGGCCGAAAGGCGUAGUCGAUGGGAAACAGGUUAAUAUUCCUGUACUUGGUGUUACUGCGAAGGGGGGACGGAGAAGGCUAUGUUGGCCGGGCGACGGUUGUCCCGGUUUAAGCAUGUAGGCGGAUGUUCCAGGUAAAUCCGGAACGUCACUAACGCUGAGGUGUGAUGACGAGGCACUACGGUGCUGAAGUGACAAAUGCCCUGCUUCCAGGAAAAGCCUCUAAGCAUCAGGUAACAUCAAAUCGUACCCCAAACCGACACAGGUGGUCAGGUAGAGAAUACCAAGGCGCUUGAGAGAACUCGGGUGAAGGAACUAGGCAAAAUGGUGCCGUAACUUCGGGAGAAGGCACGCUGAUGGUAAGUGAAGUGACUUGCUCAUGGAGCUGAAAUCAGUCGAAGAUACCAGCUGGCUGCAACUGUUUAUUAAAAACACAGCACUGUGCAAACACGAAAGUGGACGUAUACGGUGUGACGCCUGCCCGGUGCCGGAAGGUUAAUUGAUGGGGUUAUCCUCACGGAGAAGCUCUUGAUCGAAGCCCCGGUAAACGGCGGCCGUAACUAUAACGGUCCUAAGGUAGCGAAAUUCCUUGUCGGGUAAGUUCCGACCUGCACGAAUGGCGUAAUGAUGGCCAGGCUGUCUCCACCCGAGACUCAGUGAAAUUGAACUCGCUGUGAAGAUGCAGUGUACCCGCGGCAAGACGGAAAGACCCCGUGAACCUUUACUAUAGCUUGACACUGAACACUGGUCCUUGAUGUGUAGGAUAGGUGGGAGGCUUUGAAGUGUGGACGCCAGUCUGCAUGGAGCCAUCCUUGAAAUACCACCCUUUAAUGGCUGGUGUUCUAACGUGGGCCCGUGAUCCGGGUUGCGGACAGUGUCUGGUGGGUAGUUUGACUGGGGCGGUCUCCUCCUAAAGAGUAACGGAGGAGCACGAAGGUCAGCUAAUCCUGGUCGGACAUCAGGAGGUUAGUGCAAUGGCAUAAGCUGGCUUGACUGCGAGCGUGACGGCGCGAGCAGGUGCGAAAGCAGGUCAUAGUGAUCCGGUGGUUCUGAAUGGAAGGGCCAUCGCUCAACGGAUAAAAGGUACUCCGGGGAUAACAGGCUGAUACCGCCCAAGAGUUCAUAUCGACGGCGGUGUUUGGCACCUCGAUGUCGGCUCAUCACAUCCUGGGGCUGAAGUAGGUCCCAAGGGUAUGGCUGUUCGCCAUUUAAAGUGGUACGCGAGCUGGGUUUAGAACGUCGUGAGACAGUUCGGUCCCUAUCUGCCGUGGGCGCUGGAGAAUUGAGGGGGGCUGCUCCUAGUACGAGAGGACCGGAGUGGACGCAUCACUGGUGUUCGGGUUGUCAUGCCAAUGGCAUUGCCCGGUAGCUAAAUGCGGAAGAGAUAAGUGCUGAAAGCAUCUAAGCACGAAACUUGCCCCGAGAUGAGUUCUCCCUGACUCCUUGAGAGUCCUGAAGGAACGUUGAAGACGACGACGUUGAUAGGCCGGGUGUGUAAGCGCAGCGAUGCGUUGAGCUAACCGGUACUAAUGAACCGUGAGGCUUAACCUUACAACGCCGAAG